UACGGGGGGGGUAAGCGUUGUUCGGAAUUACUGGGCGUAAAGGGCUCGUAGGCGGCCAACUAAGUCAGACGUGAAAUCCCUCAGCUUAACUGGGGAACUGCGUCUGAUACUGGAUGGCUUGGAUUCGGGAGAGGAAUGCGGAAUUCCAGGUGUAGCGGUGAAAUGCGUAGAUAUCGGGAGGAACACCAGUGGCGAAGGCGACUACCUGGCCUGUAAUUGACGCUGAGGAGCGAAAGCUAGGGGAGCAAACGGG
This 253-nucleotide ribosomal RNA is filed under the name uncultured bacterium. Its description in RNAcentral is "partial 16S ribosomal RNA". It matches the Rfam family "Bacterial small subunit ribosomal RNA", at positions 524 to 776 of the family's 1533-position model. The record is from RNAcentral.